RNAcentral lists this transfer RNA (70 nucleotides) under Dipodomys ordii (Ord's kangaroo rat). It matches the Rfam family "tRNA". From Rfam's summary of the family: Transfer RNA (tRNA) molecules are approximately 80 nucleotides in length. Their secondary structure includes four short double-helical elements and three loops (D, anti-codon, and T loops). Further hydrogen bonds mediate the characteristic L-shaped molecular structure. tRNAs have two regions of fundamental functional importance: the anti-codon, which is responsible for specific mRNA codon recognition, and the 3' end, to which the tRNAs corresponding amino acid is attached (by aminoacyl-tRNA synthetases). tRNAs cope with the degeneracy of the genetic code in two manners: having more than one tRNA (with a specific anti-codon) for a particular amino acid; and 'wobble' base-pairing, i.e. permitting non-standard base-pairing at the 3rd anti-codon position. Lineage: Eukaryota; Metazoa; Chordata; Mammalia; Rodentia; Heteromyidae. The record is from Rfam by way of RNAcentral.
GGAGGCAUAGCUCAGUGGAAGGGUGCCUGCCUAGCAAGCACCAGGCCCUGAGUUCCACCCAGUGCCACCA